This is a long non-coding RNA of Ctenopharyngodon idella (grass carp), 1165 nucleotides long. RefSeq lists it as uncharacterized. The transcript is spliced from 4 exons. The record is from RefSeq and is a predicted model, not a curated record. Lineage: Eukaryota; Metazoa; Chordata; Actinopteri; Cypriniformes; Xenocyprididae.
GGAAAGGCGGGACUUAGCUCACGUGUCAAUCAUCAUCUAUGAUGCAGCGGAAUGAAGCAAGAGACAAACUUGACUGAGACUGGGAGAAAUAACCUCAAUUUUUGUGUUAUUGUGUGCGUCUAUGACUGAUUUGCCACACAUCUACCCACAGAUUCUCGACCUCCCACUCAUGUACAUCUUCAGUGUUCAAUAAAUCCCUUUGAUUUAAUCUGAUUGCCUUGAUCCAUUCCUGUGUUCUGAUCGACACACCAAGAGGAAGGCUAGAGACAUUAGAAUCACCUUAGAAUACAAUCCUUCUUCACCUCCUUAACACUUAAAGAUUUCUGAAGAACAGCCAUGGAUAAUCCAGGUAACAACACACAGAUUUAAGAAUGAAAGUGCAAAGAAGUGCAAGUACUGCCAGUGCAGCAGAUGAAGAGAUUGAAAAGAUCAUCAAAAGACGGCUGCAGCUCGCUUCGGACAGAGAUGGGGGAAGAAAAGAGCGGGCCUGAAAGCAAUCAAGUUCUACCAAAGAGUACGCUUACUUGAGGAGGCUCCUGGCGUUUUCUUGUUUGUUUUUUCAUUACACUUUUUUUUUUAAUGUUUCAAAUAUGUUUCAAAUAAAUUGUCCUAUCACUCAUUGGUCAAGAAUGGUGAAUAAAACAAAUUCAUAAGUAGAAAAGGGGUUUAAAUAAUAAAUCAGCUCCAUAGUGAAUUCAAAGUGAUCAAGGGCUUAGUGCGUUUCAUUUAAACCUUAUGCACGAGUUCUGUCAGUAGUGGGCACUCAUGCAAUGGAAGCAAUCAGUGACACACAUCCGAGUCCACGAGACGGAGGGAAGUUAGCGAGUGAAGGGCAUAAAAAUUUGGAGUGGAAUGCAGCCUAGGUCAGCCGACUCACAAUUAUAGCUUCAUUAUAUAUAAACAUUACUUUGAUAUUAUAUGUGUAGAACAGUUUAUUAAAAUUAUAUUAUAUGUUAGAUUAUCCAAGGUUACUCACCAUGGAAUGAAGUUCUUCUGGUCUUCUGGCAAUUAGCAGCACAAAAAGCCCACCAGAUGUCGUCAUUAGAUGUCAAAGCUAUAAUAUGUUAAAGGGUUAGUUCACCCAAAAAUGAAAAUAAUGUCAUUUAUUACUCACUUAUUACAGACCUUCGUUGAUCUUCAGAACGCAAAUUAAGAUAUUUUUGUU